Arachis ipaensis is the source of this 1222-nucleotide non-coding RNA. Lineage: Eukaryota; Viridiplantae; Streptophyta; Magnoliopsida; Fabales; Fabaceae. The record is from RefSeq and is a predicted model, not a curated record.
UGUAACCUUAUUCAUUUCAUUUCAAGAGAAAGGAAAGAAGAAAGAAAUGCAACCCUAAAGAUAAGCUGGGGGCGAGGAGAGGAAGACGUUAAGCUGAGUACAUGGAAGAGUCUUCUAGCAACCUCCACCGUCUCCUUUUGCUACGUAAAGGUUCUUGCUACUCCAACACCCAUAGACAGUGAACUAUCAUCUCUUCAUCAGAGUUGCAACAAGCGCAAGUAGAUAGCUUUGCCAGAGGAAGAAAAGAACUUUUGGGGGGGAGCUUCGUCUUCCAGAACUCUUUCCAGAUGCCUUUGCAAUGCAGCGGCUCUGGAUAAAAGUCAAUUGUAAGCCGAUUGAAAUGGUCACAAACUCUCAUCACAUUUGGUUCUCUGAGAUUUCGAUUGAUAAUCAUCGGAGAGAGAAAUGGUUGAAACGGCAAAAUCCAAGGAUUUGAAGCAAUGUUGAUGUUGGAGCCAUCCCUAACCUUCCAAAUCAGUCCUCUUUUUCAACAACUUUGCGGCCCUCCAACAAGCUCCUCCAUCCCCACGAAGACAUUAUUGCGGUGGUUUUUUUCCAUUUGUAUGUCUCGUCACUGGUGGAUGUAUGCAUUUGAUGUCUCCGGAAAAAGGCUUUUCGUCCUAAAUAGUCUACACACUAAAUCACAUGAUACAUCACGGAUGAGGCUAGAUGCAUAUGCGGGGAGGCUCAUUGAAGACAUAGCUCAAGUGGUCAUCUCCACGUAGAAGCCCACUCUGAUAGGUCUGCCUUGCACAUACGCCUCUGUUCCAAUACAACCAAACGGGAUACCAUCAAGUUAUACAGGAUGAAAAUAAUGCUUGUCAUCAUUCUGAGUUAAAAAAAUUCAGCCAUUGGAGAUGCACUGAAUGCCCUUGACAGUCGUCCUCAAAGUGUUGUGCGCCACAACCAACCAAGGAACAAACGUAAAGAGGCUAGGACACCGUUCAUAGCACCUGGCACAAAGAGCAAGUUUUGACGAGCUGAAGGAUUGCUGAAGAAACAGCCCAUCUAAAGGAGCUAAACCCUCACAUGCUAAGCUAUAUUUUGUUGGAACUUGAUAUUUUUUUGCGUUUACACACACUGACUGUUUGUUUUGGAUUCUUAUGUUAUUAGCGGGUGCUUGUUUUAUGAACCUUGUUGAACUUUGUUGGGUGCUUGUUUUAUGAAUCUUGUUGAACUUUGUCGGUUAAUUAACGGAGAAUGCGUGUAUUGUGAAUGUGAA